CUACGGGUUGCACCAGUGGGGAAUAUUGCACAAUGGGCGAAAGCCUGAUGCAGCAACGCCGCGUGAGGGACGACGGCCUUCGGGUUGUAAACCUCUUUUAGCAGGGAAGAAGCGAAAGUGACGGUACCUGCAGAAAAAGCACCGGCUAACUACGUGCCAGCAGCCGCGGUAAUACGUAGGGUGCAAGCGUUGUCCGGAAUUAUUGGGCGGAAAGAGCUCGUAGGCGGUUUGUCGCGUCUGCUGUGAAAAUCCGAGGCUCAACCUCGGACCUGCAGUGGGUACGGGCAAACUAGAGUGCGGUAGGGGAGAUUGGAAUUCCUGGUGUAGCGGUGGAAUGCGCAGAUAUCAGGAGGAACACCAAUGGCGAAGGCAGAUCUCUGGGCCGUAACUGACGCUGAGGAGCGAAAGCGUGGGGAGCGAACAGGGUUAGAUACCCUAGUAGUC
This 444-nucleotide ribosomal RNA is filed under the name uncultured bacterium. RNAcentral describes it as "partial 16S ribosomal RNA". It matches the Rfam family "Bacterial small subunit ribosomal RNA", at positions 339 to 795 of the family's 1533-position model. The record is from RNAcentral.